GAUGAACGCUGGCGGCGUGCCUAAUACAUGCAAGUCGAGCGAACAGACGAGGAGCUUGCUCCUCUGACGUUAGGGGCGGACGGGUGAGUCACACGUGGAUAACCUACCUAUAAGACUGGGAUAACUACGGGAACCCGGAUCCCACAUCGGAUAAUAUAGUGAACCGCAUGGUUCAAUAGAGAAAGACGGCUCUGAUGUCCCUAAUAGAUGGAUCCGCGCCGCAUUAGCUAGUUGGUAAGGUAACGGCUUACCAAGGCUACGAUGCGUAGCUGACCUGAGAGGGUGAUCGGCCACACUGGAACUGAGACACGGUCCAGACUCCUACGGGAGGCAGCAGUAGGGAAUCUUCGGCAAUGGGCGAAAGCCUGACGGAGCAACGCCGCGUGAGUGAUGAAGGUCUUCGGAUCGUAAAACUCUGUUAUUAGGGAAGAACAAAUGUGUAAUUAACUAUUCACGUCUUGACGGUACCUAAUCAGAAAGCCACGGCUAACUACGUG
Molecule: ribosomal RNA, 497 nt
Filed under: uncultured bacterium
Lineage: Bacteria
Description: partial 16S ribosomal RNA
Rfam family: Bacterial small subunit ribosomal RNA
Source: RNAcentral